AGCCUUAAGGUGGUUUUCAUGUCGAAUUGCAAAUUCGAAGAGGUAGAGAAAAAUACUCUACUAAGGCUU
Molecule: transfer RNA, 69 nt
Filed under: Rhabdomys dilectus (mesic four-striped grass rat)
Lineage: Eukaryota; Metazoa; Chordata; Mammalia; Rodentia; Muridae
Description: tRNA-Cys
Source: RNAcentral